GUCCCACCCAUUGAGACGCUGUCCCGCAUUUUGAUUGGCAGCUAUAAUUUUCAAAAGUUAAAACUCUAAAGGACAGGUGCUGGGAGUUUUGUUUUUUAUCUGGCUUUUUUCUAUGUUAGUCAAACAGCGCGAUCACGACCAGAUUAACCUGUCAGUGUCUUGCUGCCGCACCUUGUUGUCAGCUGCCGUAAAUUGUGCCAGUGGCGACCGGUCGCGACACACCGCAAAGCAGACACAAACACUGAACUAUGGAUUUUGGCGGAGAUAAUGGAAAGUACAGAAAAGAAGAGGAGAUGCAGCUUCAACAAAGACUGGGAAACUACAUAUCUCUGGGUGAAGCCGGUGCAAGGUGAUUCUCAGAGAGUUUUCUGUCAAGUUUGCCAGAGUUCGUUUUCCGUUUCACACGGUGGGGAAUACGACGUGAAGCGACACGCUACAUGCGAGACCCCCCUCUCAGCUUUGUAUCUUAGGGUGAACCUACGCUGAUGGAUGUCCCAUGUGGUCUCGAGGUUCUUCUGAGCUGAGGUGAAACCACAGGACUUCUACGCGGCCCUCCCAGCGCCCGCCUCAUCAGCGGGGAGAACGUUGGCCCCCUCACCGGCGUGGUCGGAGCAGACUCUGACUGCUUAUUGGCGAGGAUUUCAUCUGCAAACCACACCCUCCUUUUCCCCCUUGGAGGCGUCCCUGACAGAGAACAGUGGUGCCUCCUCUUGGUGAACGUGAACUUCACUCCACACUUCAUGCAGACCUGAGCUUCAGCAUCUGGGACCCACACCGGAGCGACAUCCCCCAGGACGGAGCCUCGAUCCUUGGACAGGAUGCCGACGGGGCUGCUCUCAUUAUCAGGAUCCACAGGAGAAGCUGCACACUCGGCCAUCGCUCCUCCUCCACUGGCUGCCUGGGCCUUGCUGGUUUCAUCUCCUCCAUUAGGUCUGGUCAUCUUCACCUGGCUCUGCAGCUCCUUUCCACAGGUCUCCUCAGAUGAAGGUGCUGCAGUCGCCUCUGAGCUGCGGGUUUGCUCUUGCUGCUCACUUUCCUCCACCUCCUUCUCCUCAAUCACCGAGUCCUCCUUCGAUGGGAGAACCUGGGGCUUCUCCUCAUCCUCAGGCCAGGCUGCCUCUGCAGGGCUCAGCACCAGAGGGCUGGAGGACGCCUCCCGCUCACCCCAUGUGGAGAUGGCGGUCACAGUGCAGCUGCCUUCCUCCAGCUGGGAGUGUGAAGCUGUUUUGGUGGGAAACUCAUACGGUUUCUGCUCACAUGUGCUUCUGAUUGUUGCAUCCGAGGCGGCUUUGGACGGAGAUUCUGCUCUGAUUUGUCCUGGUUUCGACACAUCCCCGUCUUUGAGCACCAGAAGGCAGGGCCUGUUGAGCCAGUGCUGCUUGGUGUCCUGCAGAGACGGAUUGUCUCCUUCAUCUGUUUCGAGGAGGAGCAUAAUGAUAUCAUCAGUGUCUCCGUCGUUCUUUCUGUCGAAGCGUGCACACACUUACACCAGGCGUGAUGCAUGCGUGCUCAUGAAUAAAGACUCAUUAGCUGGAAUAGCUGUGUUCACAUGAGCUAAGUGGCCAUUAAGUACAAUGUGAUAAUUCAUCUGUGCACUUCUAACUGCACCUCACAGCCUUCAGUCAUCACUGAAGACCCUUCAGGGGUGUGUCUGAGCAGAUCACAUCACACAAAGUAGUUUUUUUUUUUUUUAAAGGUGCUUUGUUUCGACUAAGUAUUGAUGCUCAGCCAGUGGCAGCCGUGGAUAAGACUGAUGAUACCACACAGCUAACGGUUCCCCAGAGAUAAAAAAGUUCAAUAGUGGUUCUGUGUUUAAUUGGCUCUGUGUAGCAUCUCACAUUAAAGGCUUGUAUGUUG
Amphiprion ocellaris (clown anemonefish) is the source of this 1857-nucleotide long non-coding RNA. RefSeq lists it as uncharacterized. The record is from RefSeq and is a predicted model, not a curated record. NCBI's taxonomy places the organism in Eukaryota, Metazoa, Chordata, Actinopteri, Pomacentridae. The transcript has 3 exons.